CUAAAAGAUUGUAAAUGCACCAAUCAGUGCUCUGUGUCUAGAUAAGGUUCGUAAAUGCACCAAUCAGCACUCUGUGUCUAACUAAUUGGUUGGGGACUUGGAGGACUUUUCUCUCUAGCUAAAGGAUUGUAAAUGUACCAAUCAGUGCUCUGUGUCUAGCUAAAGGUUUGUAAACACACCAAUAAGCACUCUGUAAAAAUGCACCAAUCAGCACUCUGUGUCUAGCUAAAGGUUUGUAAAUGCACCAAUCAGCACUCUGUAAAAACGGACCAAUCAGUGCUCUGUAAAAUGGAACAAUCAGCACUCUGUAAAAUGGACUAAUCAGAGCUCUGUGAAAUGGACCAAUCAGCAGGAUGUGGGCGGGGCCAAAUAAGGGAAUAAAAGCUGGCCACCCAAGCCAGCCCCAGCAACCUGCUUGGGUCAUCUUCCGUGCUGUGGAAUCUUUGUUCUUUUGAUCUUCACAGUGAAUCUUGCUGCUGCUCACUCAUUGGGUGUGCACUACCUUUAUGAGCUGUAACACUCACCAUGAAGGUCUGCAACUUCACACCUGAAGCCAGCGAGACCAUAAACCCACCAGGAGGAGCGAACAACUCUGGAGGCGCCACCUUUAAGAGGUGCAACACUCACUGUGAAGGUCUGCGGCUUCACUCCUGAAGUCAGCAAGACCACGAACCCACUAGAAGGAAUAAACUCCAGACACAUCUGAACAUCUGAAGGAACAAACUCUGGACACACCAUCUGUAAGAACUUUCUCACUGCGAGGGUCUGCAGCUUCAUUCUUGAAGUCAGUGAGACCAAGAACCUGCUGGAAGGAACCAAUUCCAGACACAAGAGGAUUUUUGUCACCUGGCUAGAGCUUGGUCGAGGAGAUGAUCUUUGUCACCUGGCUAGAGUUUGUUGGAGGAGAGGAUCUUUGUCACCUGGUUAGAGCUUGGUUGAGGAGAGGAUCUUUGUCACCUAGGAAACAGUCACAGCUGAUGUUGCAGAUGAAGAAUUACUUCAAGAAGGGCCAGACCUGGGACUGCUCUACACAAAAGCAAAUUGUUCCAAGAUUCUUGUCACAGUAAGUUGGUUUUGCCUGCUUUUGAGCUUUAGAUGAAAGAAAUGACAUAGACGUUCUGUUUGGCUUUCUGCUCGGAUUAGUGUUUGUGGGAUUCAUUCAUAUUGUUGUGUGUUAUGAUGGACAAAAAAAUUAAGUUCCCUGGAAGCAACAGGAACAGGCCUCAGUGUCAGAACUGCAGAUGGUGGGGUGCGAUUCCCACAGCCGCC
Molecule: long non-coding RNA, 1269 nt
Filed under: Macaca mulatta (Rhesus monkey)
Lineage: Eukaryota; Metazoa; Chordata; Mammalia; Primates; Cercopithecidae
Description: lncRNA (ENSMMUG00000056452.1)
Source: RNAcentral